This 72-nucleotide transfer RNA is filed under the name Cyanophora paradoxa. Its description in RNAcentral is "tRNA valine". It matches the Rfam family "tRNA". From Rfam's summary of the family: Transfer RNA (tRNA) molecules are approximately 80 nucleotides in length. Their secondary structure includes four short double-helical elements and three loops (D, anti-codon, and T loops). Further hydrogen bonds mediate the characteristic L-shaped molecular structure. tRNAs have two regions of fundamental functional importance: the anti-codon, which is responsible for specific mRNA codon recognition, and the 3' end, to which the tRNAs corresponding amino acid is attached (by aminoacyl-tRNA synthetases). tRNAs cope with the degeneracy of the genetic code in two manners: having more than one tRNA (with a specific anti-codon) for a particular amino acid; and 'wobble' base-pairing, i.e. permitting non-standard base-pairing at the 3rd anti-codon position. Lineage: Eukaryota; Glaucocystophyceae; Cyanophorales; Cyanophoraceae. The record is from RNAcentral. RNAcentral also lists the same sequence under 2 other names.
GGGCAGUUAGCUCAGCGGUAGAGCGCCUGCCUUACAAGCAGGAUGUCACAGGUUCAAAUCCUGUACUGCCCA